Long non-coding RNA from Gasterosteus aculeatus aculeatus (three-spined stickleback), 549 nucleotides. Lineage: Eukaryota; Metazoa; Chordata; Actinopteri; Perciformes; Gasterosteidae. The record is from Ensembl.
GUGAUUCAAAGAUAAAAUAAAUAAAGAACCAGUAGAGCUGCUGUCAGUCCCAGUGCCCAGUAGAGGCCGAUCCUUCUCAGACUGGUGUCACUCGAUGUCUCAGGUUCGGGUGGAUCCUUCACUGCUGCAAAGAGACACAACAAAUCUGUUUGUUAAUGUAAAGAAAAAGGUUUAUUUAUCUGAAUAAAGCUGCUGAAUUAAACGUGUUAGUAAGUUUAACUUAAUGAACCUACCAGUGACAUUGAGGUGACAUUCCUUAAAGUUCUUCCCAUAACUUGUGUCCACUUGACACCAGUACAGCCCCGAGUCAUUAGUCUGGAGUCUGGAGAUGUGAAGUCUGAGUCGUCCUUCUCUGAGGACGUCUUUGUCCCACUGGACUCGUCCUGCAAAGCGUUUAUCCUGCAUCUCUGGGACCUCGACACCGUCAUGUAGCUCAAACAGGGUAAAGGGUCUCUCAUCAGCUAACAUCUCACAGGAGACAUGAAGGGCGUUGGGGGAGGGGUCCGUGCUGGUGGGGAACAUCCAUUCCAGUGAGAUGUUGUGGUUCUC